Cephus cinctus (wheat stem sawfly) is the source of this 1932-nucleotide RNA transcript. RefSeq lists it as uncharacterized. NCBI's taxonomy places the organism in Eukaryota, Metazoa, Arthropoda, Insecta, Hymenoptera, Cephidae. The transcript is spliced from 6 exons. The record is from RefSeq and is a predicted model, not a curated record.
GAUUUUUUUAUCAACAACGAGACGGCGAUGUCUCGUAUCUUUUUUUCGAUGUAAUCAGGACACUUUUAUUUUGGUACCCGGAAUUUCGAAAAAUUAAUAUCGUUUGAAAAAUUUUGAAAAUUCUUUUUUGUUAAUAGUUCUAUCAACUCGGAAUAGGGUGCUCGGGGUAAACGCGAAUCAUUUAGUGAUUCUUUAAUAUGGAGGAUGAGUGAUUCUGCCAAUCCAGAAGAUGAAAUUCCGGGCAAUUUGAAUUCCGUGGAUGCGUCAGCGCCUUUGGAAAAGGUUGUAUCCGGUGCAGCGACUACGUCAAAAAGUUCAGCAGCCGUCGGUGGCAGCAAUCCAACAAAAAUCGAGUCGGUUACGACUUCGGAAAGUUUGAAAACUUCGCCGAAAACUUAUAUCAAGGCUAGCGGAAUUUCUGAAGUAAACGAUUGCGACCCGGGAUGUGAAAAUCGUCACGAAAUCGACAUUACUUUGAUCCCGAUCAAGAAAUAUCCAAAAAAUUGUCAGGAGACAGAAAAGACUUGUCUGCGCUUACGCAACUUGAGCGAAAGUUAAAUCCAAAAAAGAAUGUCCGAGAUACGACGAGGAUGUACGCCGGAAAAUAAUUGCAAAAAAAUUGCAUACCUAAGAGCAUUAGAACUAGCACGAGCAAAAGGGAAACAAAACGGCCAUGAUCCCCUGGACUUGGAUAGCGUGAAGAUAAUCUCAGCGACGAGAGCGUUACCUGAAAAAUCCUUAUUCAGGGAGAAUCCACCAAAUUCCGACGAGCAGGAGUCGGGCUCGAACGAAAAAUUGAAAACGAAUCCCAGUAAGGAAGCCAAACCGAAGCAGGAUCAAAUCACUCAAGACACAGCGGAGUCAUCCUGAAGCCCAGAAGAAACGAGAAUAUCCUGAAAAUCCCAAGGGUCCCAAGUUCAACUUAAAGCCAAACCAUCCCCGUCAUCCCAGGAGAGUGAAAGGACCAUACCAAAUCGAAUUAUCCUUGUUAAUUCGAUCGUGCCCAGGGUAGACAAAAAGUUCCUGCGUUCCUCAUCCAGCAGCCCCAGUAGCCGUCCCUUAGCGUUUGGUAACCUCGCGGUGGAGAUGACUCGGGAGGGACAAGCAAUAGCAGUCUGGCCAAACAUGCAAUCAAGGAUGAUCAGUCAUUGUUUAUAUAUAAUCCAUCCAAAUAGAGCUGUACGGCGAGGAGUGGAAGUCAGAUACAAAUGACGAUGAAGGGGCCGAAGCGUUCGAGAAUGAUAAAUAUUCGAGGGCCGUAUUUACUUUCUGGACCCUGGUCAUAGUAGUGGGACUUUACGUUAGUUGUGUGUACGCACUGAGCAGUCCACCGCGUAACACUUCUUCGUAGCUUUUCUUUAAAAGAAAUGAUACAAGAGAAAAAGUAACUUACUCGAGGGAAUGAAUUAGCCAGGAUCAUUCGUCGAAGUCAAGUGGAUAAUGAAAGAAUCCUAACCUUACACCAGGACAUCUCCCAAUGGUUGAUGCAGUAAAAAGUCGUAGAAUCCUGCUUCAGUUUAUUUCUUCCAUAUUGAUUAUCGUACUGAUCGUUGGUAAAGAGCUUACGUAUCUUCGGGCGCUGCGAGCGCUGCGUCAACGAGUGGAACUAUUAUGGAAAGUGGAGGCAAACUGUCUUCGUAAUUUAAAAACCAGUAAAUGGAAUUUCAGUGGCUGCAAGGGCAUCUGGUCAGUGGGGUGUAGAAAACUUUUUUUUUUAAAUUGAACUUGCGCAAGAUAACCAGCCAUACAGCAAGUGCUGAUACGUCGAAUAAUGGACGCCGGAGGCGCGGGAAGUUUGAAAGAGGAAAAUCAUGUACGUCUUUCGUUGAUUCUUGGCAUGGGAAGGAAAAAGAGAAAUUUAAUAAAGAAAAGUGAUAAUAAUUAAAUAAAGAUAUUACAAAGAAUUCCUGCAUAUCUGGUGCGACUGCUACG